This 467-nucleotide ribosomal RNA is filed under the name uncultured bacterium. RNAcentral's name for it is "bacterial SSU rRNA". It matches the Rfam family "Bacterial small subunit ribosomal RNA", at positions 328 to 793 of the family's 1533-position model. The record is from RNAcentral.
UCGCCAGACUCCUACGGGAGGCAGCAGUGAGGAAUAUUGGUCAAUGGGCGGGAGCCUGAACCAGCCAAGUCGCGUGAGGGACGACGGUCCUAUGGAUUGUAAACCUCUUUUGUCGGGGAACAAAGGCGCCCACGGGUGGGCGGAUGAGUGUACCCGAAGAAAAAGCAUCGGCUAACUCCGUGCCAGCAGCCGCGGUAAUACGGAGGAUGCGAGCGUUAUCCGGAUUUAUUGGGUUUAAAGGGUGCGUAGGCGGACAGUCAAGUCAGCGGUAAAAAUGCGGUGCUCAACGCCGUACAGCCGUUGAAACUGGCAGUCUUGAGUGGGCGAGAAGUAUGCGGAAUGCGUGGUGUAGCGGUGAAAUGCUUAGAUAUCACGAAGAACUCCGAUUGCGAAGGCAGCUCACUGGACUGCAACUGACACUGAGGCUCGAAAGUGUGGGUAUCAAACAGGAUUAGAUACCCGGGUAC